GAUGAACGCUAGCUACAGGCUUAACACAUGCAAGUCGAGGGGUAACGAGAGGGAAGCUUGCUUUCCUUGUCGACGACCGGCGCACGGGUGAGUAACGCGUAUCCAACCUGCCCCCAACUAGGGAAUAACCUUGCGAAAGUAAGACUAAUGCCCUAUAAUUUCCUCAGAUGUCAUCUGGCGAGGAAUAAAGAUUUAUCGGUUGUGGAUGGGGAUGCGUCUGAUUAGCUUGUCGGCGGGGUAACGGCCCACCAAGGCAACGAUCAGUAGGGGUUCUGAGAGGAAGGUCCCCCACAUUGGAACUGAGACACGGUCCAAACUCCUACGGGAGGCAGCAGUGAGGAAUAUUGGUCAAUGGGCGGAAGCCUGAACCAGCCAAGUAGCGUGCAGGAUGACGGCCCUAUGGGUUGUAAACUGCUUUUAUACAGGAAUAAAGUUAGCCACGUGUGGUUAUUUGUAGGUACUGUAUGAAUAAGGACCGGCUAAUUCCGUGCCAGCCGCCGCGGUAA
This 506-nucleotide ribosomal RNA is filed under the name uncultured bacterium. RNAcentral describes it as "partial 16S ribosomal RNA". It matches the Rfam family "Bacterial small subunit ribosomal RNA", at positions 28 to 523 of the family's 1533-position model. The record is from RNAcentral.